AAACCAACAUUGCUCUAAUUUAGCCAUCACCCACCUGACAGGAACUCUCUCACACAUUACAGUGAUGAACUCUGUAACACUGAUCAUGGCCUGUGUGACUAAUGAUGAAUUUUUCCUGUUGCCUGGUGCAGUGGCGGCCGGUGGUGCUUCCUGACAAGUACAUAGACCAUGGAUCACCGGCUGAUCAGUUGGUGGAGGCUGGGCUGACACCGUCGCACAUCGCCGCCACGGUGUUCAAUAUCCUGGGGCAGGCAAGGGAGGCCCUCGCCAUCAUGACGGUGCCGAAUGCCUAGAGCCAGCGUGCUGCCUGCUAUAGAGAUUCUUGUACAUUUUGGCAUUAGAUGAUUCAGAGAGAUUAGCCGGCGUCUUAAAAUUAAAGAUAAUGAUCCUGGUCAGGGGAGGGGGGAAUGACAGUUUUCGUUCUUUAUUUUUGAUGUUGGCUGCCUUGAGGUACGUGGUUGUUCACGGAUUGGAACACAGCUG
Molecule: long non-coding RNA, 483 nt
Filed under: Brachypodium distachyon (stiff brome)
Lineage: Eukaryota; Viridiplantae; Streptophyta; Magnoliopsida; Poales; Poaceae
Description: long non-coding RNA (BDIS_LNC002019)
Source: RNAcentral